CGGGACGGGUGAGUAACGCGUGGAUAACCUGCCUCACAUUGGGGGAUAACAGUUAGAAAUGGCUGCUAAUACCGCAUAAGCGCACAGUACCGCAUGGUACGGUGUGAAAAACCCAGGUGGUGUGAGAUGGAUCCGCGUCUGAUUAGCCAGUUGGCGGGGUAACGGCCCACCAAAGCGACGAUCAGUAGCCGACCUGAGAGGGUGACCGGCCACAUUGGGACUGAGACACGGCCCAA
This 236-nucleotide ribosomal RNA is filed under the name uncultured bacterium. RNAcentral's name for it is "partial 16S ribosomal RNA". It matches the Rfam family "Bacterial small subunit ribosomal RNA", at positions 100 to 334 of the family's 1533-position model. The record is from RNAcentral.